RNAcentral lists this long non-coding RNA (767 nucleotides) under Rattus norvegicus (Norway rat). RNAcentral describes it as "long non-coding RNA NONRATT009642". Lineage: Eukaryota; Metazoa; Chordata; Mammalia; Rodentia; Muridae. The record is from RNAcentral.
UGAUCACCGUGCCCCUCUCUGACUUCUAGCAUCCUUGGUUCCUGUUCCCUUAGUCUCAGAAGCAUGGGAGAAAGCCAGAUGCCAAGUCCCCUUAAGAAGAAAAGAAAGGCCUCCAAAGUUUGGAAAACUUUAAGCCUGGAGAUGGGUACAAGGGGUGCUCCUGGGAGAAGGGAGAAGCUCACCUGUUGACAGAGGGACGAAAGUUUGGCUCUCCCACCCUACUCCCACCGCGACUCCCAGAACCCUGCCACGCCCAGCCCAGCUGUCUUGCCAGGCCCAGUACUCACCUUAAGCCCUCGGAUCUCGCCUAGAUGCAGCUGCAGGCGGCGGUUGACCUCGCGAAUGAGGUUGCUGUGGUCCAGCAUCGCGCUCACCUUUUCAGCUUCGGCGCGCCGCAGGCUGCGGAUCAGAUCCUCCUUGCUCCACUGCAGCAGUUCUUCGUCCGUCACUUUAGACAGAUCCUCCACGCCCGCGGGUGUCGACACGCCGGCCGGAGCCGAGGGACAACUUUCCGCCGCCGGCGCCGCUCCUCCAGCCGCCUUCGACAUGGUAUCCGCGCAGCGGCAGGUGCGAGUGGGUGGAAGCGGCGAAAGGACUGGGGAAGGUGCGGGCGCGGCUGGGCGGCCUCCGCCCACACCCCUGUGCGCUUCGAGAGUCAGCGGCACCUCCCGGGGACCGCUGCGUGGGGACGGCGAGGAUCGCGCUGCGCGGCCAUCCUAUCUCGCCAUCCAAGUGUGCGUACCUGCCGAAUCCCGGGGCCCGACAGC